AAUAGAUACCCCGGUAGUCCACGCCGUAAACGAUCGAGUGCUAAGUGUUACGAGGGUUUCCGCCCUUUAGUGCUGCAGCUAACGCAUUAAGCACUCCGCCUGGGGAGUACGGUCGCAAGACUGAAACUCAAAGGAAUUGACGGGGGCCCGCACAAGCGGUGGAGCAUGUGGUUUAAUUCGAAGCAACGCGAAGAACCUUACCAGGUCUUGACAUCCUCUGACAACUCUAGAGAUAGAGCGUUCCCCUUCGGGGGACAGAGUGACAGGUGGUGCAUGGUUGUCGUCAGCUCGUGUCGUGAGAUGUUGGGUUAAGUCCCGCAACGAGCGCAACCCUUGAUCUUAGUUGCCAGCAUUUAGUUGGGCACUCUAAGGUGACUGCCGGUGACAAACCGGAGGAAGGUGGGGAUGACGUCAAAUCAUCAUGCCCCUUAUGACCUGGGCUACACACGUGCUACAAUGGAUGGUACAAAGGGCUGCAAGACCGCGAGGUCAAGCCAAUCCCAUAAAAACCAUUCUCAGUUCGGAUUGUAGG
RNAcentral lists this ribosomal RNA (532 nucleotides) under uncultured bacterium. RNAcentral describes it as "bacterial SSU rRNA". It matches the Rfam family "Bacterial small subunit ribosomal RNA", at positions 777 to 1304 of the family's 1533-position model. The record is from RNAcentral.